This is a non-coding RNA of Trichonephila clavata, 73 nucleotides long. Lineage: Eukaryota; Metazoa; Arthropoda; Arachnida; Araneae; Nephilidae. The record is from the annotation of a GenBank genome assembly.
GUCCCUGCAGAGCAAUGGAUAGCGUGUUGGACUUCUAAUUCAAAGGUAGUGGGUAGGAAUCCCACCUGGAAUG